GAGGAUGAUGUCCUUCGAGCUACCCCUUCCCUUCCCCCACCCCAGCCAAGUUGCCUCAGCUGACUUUUCACCCUGGAUUUCCACA
RNAcentral lists this small RNA (85 nucleotides) under Mus musculus (house mouse). The record is from RNAcentral. Lineage: Eukaryota; Metazoa; Chordata; Mammalia; Rodentia; Muridae.